AAGAAUGGAACAAGAAAGAGACUAAGACAAUGUUCAAGAACGAGAGGAAGAGAGGCUACCGAGAAUUAGAACAACAAAUGGCCAGGAUUUUGAAUGGUUUGGCCGCCUUACAUUUUCAAAUAUAAAUGAAGAAUUUGGAGGCCCAGCUAGUCAGUGACAAACUAAAAGGAAGAAGGUGAUAUACCAUGCCAUUAAUUUUCUUUUCAGUUCCCAUGAUUUGGCUGUUUUAAGUGGUGGAAUGAUAAUGUAUUAUGUUUGUUUGUUGAACCUCGGGAAUAGCUUUGCAAAUAACAAACUUCAGUACAAAGAUGUCAAAGUUUUGAUAUAAACUGUACUAACUUAUAAUUGCAUAUUAUAAUUAUAGUGAACUAGAUAGGCGCUCACAUGCUAGUGGUCUGCGGUGACAUUUUAAGCUCUUGUUUAUUGUCUUUAAUGCCAGUGUGUAGCAGCCAGCAAAAUUAGCUCUACUUCUUGGUGUGAAUUUAUGAUGGUUAUUUAGUUUAUUUUAUUUUUACACUGCAUCAUGCUAUGUUUCAUGAGUAUAAACAUGAUAUGCUUGGCAUGCAGUUUUGGGGGAAAAAGGAAGCAUCUCAUGUGUAAAUUUCGUUUGACCUUGCAUUUUACUGCUUACUAUUUACUAUACAUCCAGAAUUGUACUUGGAAGUGUCAUUAUAGUUCUUUAGAAGUGGGCUUUUGUGUCCAUCAGCCAUGAUUUUGUAGAGAUGCCAGUUGAAUAAAUCUGAUUCUCUAAUCUCGCAAGGAUAAUGAUUAACUUCUGUAUAUAUAGAUACUCCUACAGCAUGUAUAAAAAAGAUAAUUUGAGUCAUUUCUCAUAAUUGGAUCCUCUUUCUUUCAUGUACAUGAAUUAUUUCAGCUUAUUUGUAUGUAGAAAGCCUUGGUUUUAUUUUCUAGGCUAAUUCAACUUGUGCAAGAUGUAGGAAAGUGAACCAAUAAAAAUUGUUUAUUGAACCAAAUGUUUGUAGUGUUUCACUGGAUUAAAUCUGUGGGCUUGUCACUAAUCGGAUACCAUUUAGGGGACCUUAAUUUCUCCAGCUAGUUUCCCUCUUAUUUUGUGUAGUACAUGUAGAGAGCUUAGAAGGAAAAGCAAGCUCAAAUACAAGCUAAUUUAAUUCACUGGCUAGUACAGUAACUUAGCGCAUUCAACCUGCUUAUACCAAUUUGCUUAUUGCCGUAACUUAUAUCACUCUAUUUCUCGAUCCUGCUUGAAGGUGCAACUGUAACUUUGCAUAUGUGCUUGUUCAAUACAGUAGCUUCAAAAUGCGCUUGUGUAAUAUUUAGUGUGUGAUUGUGGCCUCGUGCUUGUGUUUCCAAAUGCAGAAGACAAUCAAAUGGUCAUCAAUUCUGUUUGCUUUACUUCGGUACAGGAAUAGCCUCACUACAAGAUAGGUACACCUACUAAUUACUGUUGAUAUUUGUUAAUAUCUGUACAGACUUUGCAAACUAUAUUUGGAUGAGAAGUAAGAGAAGCUUGCUACUGUCAAGAUGAUAAAAAAUGGACAUGUUCUCUACUAAAGUAGAGAUUACUCUAGAGAUGGUACUAGUUGCUCUAUGUUUCAGAACAUAUACGGCUGUUGUAUGUGGUUGUUGUCACAUCUUCCUGUUUAUAGACUUUGCACAUUACAUUUUGAUGAGAAGAUAAGCUUGCUACUGUUAAGAUGAUAAAAAAUGGACACCUUCUCUACUAUAGUAGAGAUUAGUCUAGAGAAAAUAUGCGGCUGUUGUAUGUGAUUGUUGUAACAUCUUCCUUAAGUUCUGAAUGCUGCUGUUGUAUGUAACAUCUUACGAUCUAUGGCAGCUGCAGAUUUCCCAAAGGUGAACAAGUUCACUAAGGUUUGGAAGAUUUUCAAGCUGAUGAAGAUUUGGAAGACCUACAAUGUCCUGCGUCUUGUUUGUUGAACCUAGACAUUUGCUCUGCUCAUUUUGGUGGUGGUUUGGCUGUGUGGCACACAUCUAGAAGCAUAUGUACAUCUUUUGUGGCACUACUUUAGUUUGGUUGUGGGGUAAACAUAUAUAUGUACUCCUUUCGUGGCACAACCUCUACAUAUAUUGUCGUUAUGUUUAUCAAAUGAAGUUUAAGGUUUUCGAUGAGGCCUAUAUGUUACAUUGGUUGAAGUGCGUGUAUAAAUUGUGUGAUAUGUCUUGAUUGUCUGGACAUAUAUAAUGGAUGGAUAUUACAUAAUAGCGAUGCCUAGAACAUUUCGCUAGUGAAAUUAACA
RNAcentral lists this long non-coding RNA (2237 nucleotides) under Triticum aestivum (bread wheat). RNAcentral's name for it is "long non-coding RNA (TAES_LNC020656)". Lineage: Eukaryota; Viridiplantae; Streptophyta; Magnoliopsida; Poales; Poaceae. The record is from RNAcentral.